RNAcentral lists this ribosomal RNA (433 nucleotides) under uncultured bacterium. RNAcentral's name for it is "partial 16S ribosomal RNA". It matches the Rfam family "Bacterial small subunit ribosomal RNA", at positions 29 to 507 of the family's 1533-position model. The record is from RNAcentral.
AACGAACGCUGGCGGCAUGCCUAACACAUGCAAGUCGAACGAUGCCUUCGGGCAUAGUGGCGCACGUGUGCGUAACGCGUGGGAAUCUGCCCUUGGGUUCGGAAUAACAGUGAGAAAUUGCUGCUAAUACCGGAUGAUGUCUUCGGACCAAAGAUUUAUCGCCCAGGGAUGAGCCCGCGUAGGAUUAGCUAGUUGGUGGGGUAAUCGCCUACCAAGGCGACGAUCCUUAGCUGGUCGGAGAGCAUGAUCAGCCACACGGGGACUGAGACACGGCCCCGAGUCCGACAGGAGGCCGGAGUAGGGAAUAUUGGACAAGGGGCGCGAGACUGAUCCAGCGAUGCCGCGUGAGUGAUGAAGCCCUUAGGGUUGUAAAGCUCUUUUACCCGGGAGGAUAAUGACAGUACCGGGAGAAUAAGCUCCGGCUAACUCCGUG